Molecule: ribosomal RNA, 253 nt
Filed under: uncultured bacterium
Lineage: Bacteria
Description: partial 16S ribosomal RNA
Rfam family: Bacterial small subunit ribosomal RNA
Source: RNAcentral
UACGGAGGGUGCAAGCGUUAUCCGGAUUCACUGGGCGUAAAGGGCGCGUAGGCGGCCGAUCAAGUCAGGGGCGAAAGCCUGUGGCUCAACCACAGAAUUGCCUUUGAUACUGUUCGGCUCGAGACCGGAAGAGGUAAGUGGAACUGCGAGUGUAGAGGUGAAAUUCGUAGAUAUUCGCAAGAACACCAGUGGCGAAGGCGGCUUACUGGUCCGGUUCUGACGCUGAGGCGCGAAAGCGUGGGGAGCAAACAGG